GCUGGCGGCGUGCUUAACACAUGCAAGUCGAACGNGAAAGAGGGAGCUUGCUCCCUUGAUCGAGUGGCGAACGGGUGAGUAACGCGUGAGGAACCUGCCUCAAAGAGGGGGACAACAGUUGGAACGACUGCUAAUACCGCAUAAGCCCACGGCUCGGCAUCGAGCAGAGGGAAAAGGAGCGAUCCGCUUUGAGAUGGCCUCGCGUCCGAUUAGCUAGUUGGUGAGGUAACGGCCCACCAAGGCGACGAUCGGUAGCCGGACUGAGAGGUUGAACGGCCACAUUGGGACUGAGACACGGCCCAGACUCCUACGGGAGGCAACAGUGGGGAAUAUUGCACAAUGGGGGAAACCCUGAUGCAGCGACGCCGCGUGGAGGAAGAAGGUCUUCGGAUUGUAAACUCCUGUUGUUGAGGAAGAUAAUGACGGUACUCAACAAGGAAGUGACGGCUAACUACGUG
RNAcentral lists this ribosomal RNA (458 nucleotides) under uncultured bacterium. RNAcentral describes it as "bacterial SSU rRNA". It matches the Rfam family "Bacterial small subunit ribosomal RNA", at positions 35 to 507 of the family's 1533-position model. The record is from RNAcentral.